RNAcentral lists this ribosomal RNA (235 nucleotides) under uncultured bacterium. RNAcentral describes it as "partial 16S ribosomal RNA". It matches the Rfam family "Bacterial small subunit ribosomal RNA", at positions 99 to 334 of the family's 1533-position model. The record is from RNAcentral.
CGCACGGGUGAGUAACACGUAUCCAACCUGCCGUCUACUCUUGGACAGCCUUCUGAAAGGAAGAUUAAUACAAGAUGGCAUCAUGAGUCCGCAUGUUCACAUGAUUAAAGGUAUUCCGGUAGACGGUGGGGAUGCGUUCCAUUAGAUAGUAGGCGGGGUAACGGCCCACCUAGUCUUCGAUGGAUAGGGGUUCUGAGAGGAAGGUCCCCCACAUUGGAACUGAGACACGGUCCAA